GAUGAACGCUAGCGAUAGGCUUAACACAUGCAAGUCGAGGGGCAGCAUAGAUAUAGCUUGCUAUAUUUGAUGGCGACCGGCGCACGGGUGAGUAACGCGUAUGCAAUCUACCUCGUACAAGGGGAUAGCCCGGAGAAAUUCGGAUUAAUACCCUAUAGUAAUUGAGAUUCGCAUGGAUUUCGAUUUAAAAAUUCAUUGGUAUGAGAUGAGCAUGCGUUCCAUUAGCUAGUUGGUAAGGUAACGGCUUACCAAGGCAACGAUGGAUAGGGGAACUGAGAGGUUUAUCCCCCACACUGGAACUGAGACACGGACCAGACUCCUACGGGAGGCAGCAGUGAGGAAUAUUGGUCAAUGGACGAGAGUCUGAACCAGCCAAGUCGCGUGAAGGAUGACUGCCCUAUGGGUUGUAAACUUCUUUUAUAUGGGAAUAAAAGAUGCUACGUGUAGUAUAUUGCAUGUACCAUAUGAAUAAGCAUC
This 477-nucleotide ribosomal RNA is filed under the name uncultured Dysgonomonas sp. RNAcentral describes it as "bacterial SSU rRNA". It matches the Rfam family "Bacterial small subunit ribosomal RNA", at positions 28 to 494 of the family's 1533-position model. Lineage: Bacteria; Pseudomonadati; Bacteroidota; Bacteroidia; Bacteroidales; Dysgonomonadaceae. The record is from RNAcentral.